RNAcentral lists this ribosomal RNA (429 nucleotides) under Chloroflexota bacterium. RNAcentral describes it as "Chloroflexi bacterium partial 16S ribosomal RNA". It matches the Rfam family "Bacterial small subunit ribosomal RNA", at positions 355 to 776 of the family's 1533-position model. Lineage: Bacteria; Bacillati; Chloroflexota. The record is from RNAcentral.
UGGGGAAUAUUGCACAAUGGGCGCAAGCCUGAUGCAGCCAUGCCGCGUGUAUGAAGAAGGCCUUCGGGUUGUAAAGCACUUUCAGCGGGGAGGAAGGCGAUAAGGUUAAUAACCUUGUCGAUUGACGUUACCCGCAGAAGAAGCACCGGCUAACUCCGUGCCAGCAGCCGCGGUAAUACGGAGGGUGCAAGCGUUAAUCGGAAUUACUGGGCGUAAAGCGCACGCAGGCGGUUUGUUAAGUCAGAUGUGAAAUCCCCGGGCUCAACCUGGGAACUGCAUUCGAAACUGGCAGGCUAGAGUCUUGUAGAGGGGGGUAGAAUUCCAGGUGUAGCGGUGAAAUGCGUAGAGAUCUGGAGGAAUACCGGUGGCGAAGGCGGCCCCCUGGACAAAGACUGACGCUCAGGUGCGAAAGCGUGGGGAGCAAACAGG